This 355-nucleotide ribosomal RNA is filed under the name Halodesulfovibrio spirochaetisodalis. Its description in RNAcentral is "bacterial SSU rRNA". It matches the Rfam family "Bacterial small subunit ribosomal RNA", at positions 1 to 353 of the family's 1533-position model. The record is from RNAcentral. Lineage: Bacteria; Pseudomonadati; Thermodesulfobacteriota; Desulfovibrionia; Desulfovibrionales; Desulfovibrionaceae.
AUUAAACUGGAGAGUUUGAUUCUGGCUCAGAUUGAACGCUGGCGGCGUGCCUAACACAUGCAAGUCGAACGCGAAAGUCUCUUCGGAGAUGAGUAGAGUGGCGCACGGGUGAGUAACGCGUGGAUUAUCUACCUACUGGUACGGGACAACAGUUGGAAACGACUGCUAAUACCGUAUACGCUGGUAACGGGAAAGGGGGCCUCUUCUUGAAAGCUCUCGCCAGUAGAUGAGUCCGCGUUUCAUUAGCUAGACGGUGGGGUAACGGCCUACCGUGGCAACGAUGAAUAGCAGGCCUGAGAGGGUGGCCUGCCACACUGGGACUGGAACACGGCCCAGACUCCUACGGGAGGCAGCA